This 426-nucleotide ribosomal RNA is filed under the name uncultured bacterium. Its description in RNAcentral is "bacterial SSU rRNA". It matches the Rfam family "Bacterial small subunit ribosomal RNA", at positions 355 to 794 of the family's 1533-position model. The record is from RNAcentral.
UGGGGAAUAUUGGGGCAAUGGGGCGCAAGCCUGACCCAGCAACGCCGCGUGAAGGAAGAAGGCUUUCGGGUUGUAAACUUCUUUUAAGGGGGAAGAGUAGAAGACGGUACCCCUAGAAUAAGCCACGGCUAACUACGUGCCAGCAGCCGCGGUAAUACGUAGGAUGCGAGCGUUAUCCGGAUUUAUUGGGUUUAAAGGGUGCGCAGGCGGGCGUCUAAGUCAGCGGUGAAAGUUCCCGGCUCAACCGGGUCAGUGCCGAUGAUACUGGGGGCCUUGAAUGCGGUCGAGGCCGGCGGAAUGUGGCGUGUAGCGGUGAAAUGCAUAGAUAUGCCACAGAACACCGAUAGCGAAGGCAGCUGGCCGGGCCUGCAUUGACGCUGAGGCACGAAAGCGUGGGGAUCGAACAGGAUUAGAUACCCUGGUAGU